GGGGGUGUAAUAGAUUCGACGGGUAUCUGUUACGGCUCGGGAGCAGGUAUUGGUUGGCCAGGCCAAUUCAAACAGGGCCAAAAAAAUAACUAACGACCAUCAAGUCGCUUGGGCUAACGCUUAGUCCACUGCCGUCUCUGCGCUUUCCGCACGCGGAGGCAGGGCAGUCAUCAUGCGGAAUGCGGCGCGGCGGGCGCGUUUCGUCCCGCUUCGCUUAAGACCAACGGAACAAAUCACGGGGUUGCCUCCGCGCGCUUACCCCGCGAUUAUCGGGCGCGGAUAAACCUGUAGGGCCUGAACUGUUAGGAUGUUCGGACGGGGGUGCGAAUCCCCCCACCUCCACU
Molecule: transfer-messenger RNA, 344 nt
Filed under: human gut metagenome
Rfam family: transfer-messenger RNA
About the family: Bacterial tmRNA, also known as 10Sa RNA or SsrA, is named for its dual tRNA and mRNA-like properties.
Source: RNAcentral